Non-coding RNA from Picea glauca (white spruce), 82 nucleotides. NCBI's taxonomy places the organism in Eukaryota, Viridiplantae, Streptophyta, Pinopsida, Pinales, Pinaceae. The record is from Rfam.
UGCAGUUGAAGAUGAAAAGAUUGUUAUGUUCUGAUUUAAUAUGAUUAUUUCAUACUAUCACUAUCUUUCGGCUGAAUUUGCU